RNAcentral lists this ribosomal RNA (443 nucleotides) under uncultured bacterium. Its description in RNAcentral is "partial 16S ribosomal RNA". It matches the Rfam family "Bacterial small subunit ribosomal RNA", at positions 338 to 795 of the family's 1533-position model. The record is from RNAcentral.
CCUACGGGAGGCAGCAGUGGGGAAUAUUGGGCAAUGGGCGCAAGCCUGACCCAGCAACGCCGCGUGAAGGAAGAAGGCUUUCGGGUUGUAAACUUCUUUUCUCAGGGACGAAGAAAGUGACGGUACCUGAGUAAUAAGCCACGGCUAACUACGUGCCAGCAGCCGCGGGAAUACGUAGGUGGCAAGCGUUAUCCGGAUUUAUUGGGUGUAAAGGGCGUGUAGGCGGGAGCGCAAGUCAGAUGUGAAAACUCAGGGCCCAACCCUGAGCCUGCAUUUGAAACUGUGUUUCUUGAGUGCUGGAGAGGCAAUCGGAAUUCCGUGUGUAGCGGUGAAAUGCGUAGAUAUACGGAGGAACACCAGUGGCGAAGGCGGAUUGCUGGACAGUAACUGACGCUGAGGCGCGAAAGCGUGGGGAGCAAACAGGAUUAGAUACCCUUGUAGUC